AAAACAAAUUUCGGAUUUUAACUUGCAAAGAUAUAAACUUUGUUUAUGUUAUUUCUUUUGUUUCAUCAAUUUAAAACCAAUUUAUAUGAACUUACUUCACUUCUAAUCUUGCUAAAUUGGAUAAUAAUGUUUGUUCCUAAGCUUCACUCAAUGUUUGGUAUAUCAGUUUAUAAUCUAUUUUGCUAUUAUGUUUUCAAGUUAAAGACAUUGUGAUUAUAUAAUAUGUCACAAGACAAGUAAUUUGAUAUUCAAAGUUUAUUUGGUUGAUUGCACUAAUAUUGAAAGGUUGUUGUUGUAAAUUGGAUUCGUGGGAUGAUUGGUAUAUGAUGAAUUGUAGAUAGUUCAUGGAAGAGUUAGAAAGGAUUAGCAAGUUAAUUCAUUUAUCUGAAUUAUAGUUGGAAAGAAUGUAAAUUGUUGUUAUUGUGGUUAUGAGGUGAAUCUUGGAGAAGGCUUUUGAGAAGUAUAUAAUUCAAGCUAAGAUGAAGGCUUUUGGAAUCCACAUUGGAAUUAAACUAGUUGGUGUCUAAAUUAAAAUGAUCGAUAUUAUAUAUAUGGGUGUUCAUUUAGUAAGUAUAUGGAAGUGUUAUAAAAAGAUUAAUCGAAUAGUUGAGUUUUUAGUUAAACCAUAAGGUGUAUUCACUAUUCUAAUGAUAAUUAUUGUUUAUGGUGAAUUAUGCGGAGUUUAAGAUUGAGUUGGUGACCAAAUAUCAAGAUCUUGGAGGUUUGUAAAGAAUUGGAUUUCGAGUGAGGCUCUUUCAGGUUCGAGGGAAGUUGUAUGAGCUACUAGUUAAUUGUAUACCUCUAGAAAUCAUACUGAAGGUACAUCAAGGAGAGGAAAAUGUAUGACAUGAAGAACAAUUGCAGUUGCACGAAUGACAAUUUUGGCGGUGGAUCUCGCUUAAAAGUGGAGCAUGGUUUUGGAAUUAAUUAGGCAACUAGCUAGUAAUCUUUUUUUUUUUGGGAAUAUAUUUAUGCUAGAAGUAGAUAUUUUUUGGUGCAUAUAUAUUAGGUUGGAAGUAAAUAUAUUAGGUGAUCAAACUUCUCUUGGGAUUUGAUAUAUAUACGAUAGUACUAUAUUUAGUACUUGUGUUGGAAAUUAUCGAACGAUUGGAUGACCUUGAAUAUAUUUAUGGGUCUUUUUGGAAAUCUAAAUUUUUAUCAUUA
This is a long non-coding RNA of Beta vulgaris subsp. vulgaris (sugar beet), 1164 nucleotides long. RefSeq lists it as uncharacterized. The transcript has 3 exons. The record is from RefSeq and is a predicted model, not a curated record. Lineage: Eukaryota; Viridiplantae; Streptophyta; Magnoliopsida; Caryophyllales; Amaranthaceae.